GACACACUGUCAGAGGACCUUUGAAAAUGCUUAAAGAGGACUUGAUGUCUUCUGGGGCUAGUCCAUCACUGAAUGUGUUGGACUAUGUGAGCAAGUUCCGUGAACGGUUACAUAAAGCUUGCUCGGUGGCGAAGGAGUCACUUGAAGUUGCGCAAAGGAAAAUGAAACGUCUUUUUGACCGCAAAUCUGUACAGCGUUCCUUUAACGAGGGCGAUCAGGUGUUGGUGUUGCUGCCUAUGGUAGGGUCGGCGUUAUCAGCCCGGUUUUCUGGUCCGUACGAGGUGGUACGGAAACUUAGCAAUACAGAUUACGUAAUCGGGACACCCGAUAGAAAACGAAAGACUCGUGUCUGUCAUGUGAAUAUGUUGAAGACUUUUUAUUGCAGAGAGGGUAUCCAGUCCGAUGUUUCGCCGACAGAGGAAACCGCUGUUCACCUGUCCUCCCCGGCUCCUGCCUCCGUGGCAUGCGCUGCGGUGGAAAUCUCUAACCCGGAUGAUGAUGGAGUAAUUGUUCGCCACACUUACCAGCAAUGUGCUCGCCUCAAGAACUCUGAGUAUUAGAGCAUGAUAUUAACGUGGGGGAUGCUGUUCCGGUCAAGCAACAUGCGUACCGCAUGAACUCAGUGAAGAGAGAGCGUAUGCGGGGAGAGGUUGAGUAUUUGGUGGAGCAUGGAUUGGCUCAAGCCAGCUGCAGCCCCUGGAGCUCUCCAUGCCUCCUGAUACCGAAGAGUGACGGCACUGAUCGGUUUUGUACGGACUAUCGUAAGGUUAAUGCGCUCACGGUACCGGAUUGUUUUCCAUUGCCGCGGAUGGAGGACUGCAUUGACAACAUCGGCUCGGCCCGUUAUGUCAGUAAAUUGGAUCUACUAAAAGGGUACUGGCAGGUGCCGCUUACGUCUCGCGCUUCUGACAUCUCCGCUUUCGUGACAC
This is a long non-coding RNA of Gasterosteus aculeatus aculeatus (three-spined stickleback), 929 nucleotides long. NCBI's taxonomy places the organism in Eukaryota, Metazoa, Chordata, Actinopteri, Perciformes, Gasterosteidae. The record is from Ensembl.